This 309-nucleotide long non-coding RNA is filed under the name Elaeis guineensis (African oil palm). RNAcentral describes it as "long non-coding RNA (EGUI_LNC042291)". The record is from RNAcentral. Lineage: Eukaryota; Viridiplantae; Streptophyta; Magnoliopsida; Arecales; Arecaceae.
CCCUUAGCUAGGAUUGUCUGCAUAACUUGAUUACUAACCUACAACUAUUAACCCUAAUUAAAACACUCUUCUCUAUCAUCUCUCGAUUUAAGACUCAUUAAGCUCUCAUCUUUAGAAUUCUCUUCUCAUCUAUCUCUCUUUCCUCUUCAAUUUAAAAAAAAUAAAAAUAAAAAUAUAUAAAAAUAACUGAAAAUUCUUAAAUUUUUUUGGAAAAGAAAAUCUGGUCGUCUAGUGAGAAUUGAUUCAAAUCCUAUCCUAAUCCAAAAAAAUUUUGAGUCCACAAUGAGUGAAAUCAAUCAACCUCAAGUC